UCGCCAGACUCCUACGGGAGGCAGCAGUGGGGGAUAUUGCACAAUGGGGGGAACCCUGAUGCAGCGACGCCGCGUGGGUGAAGAAGCGCCUCGGCGCGUAAAGCCCUGUCAGCAGGGAAGAAAAUGACGGUACCUGAAGAAGAAGCCCCGGCUAACUACGUGCCGGCAGCCGCGGUAAUACGUAGGGGGCAAGCGUUAUCCGGAUUUACUGGGUGUAAAGGGAGCGUAGACGGCUGCGCAAGUCAGAAGUGAAAGCCCGGGGCUCAACCGCGGGACUGCUUUUGAAACUGUGUAGCUAGAGUGCAGGAGAGGUAAGUGGAAUUCCUAGUGUAGCGGUGAAAUGCGUAGAUAUUAGGAGGAACACCGGUGGCGAAGGCGGCUUACUGGACUGUAACUGACGUUGAGGCUCGAAAGCGUGGGGAGCAAACAGGAUUAGAUACCCGCGUAA
This 448-nucleotide ribosomal RNA is filed under the name uncultured bacterium. RNAcentral's name for it is "bacterial SSU rRNA". It matches the Rfam family "Bacterial small subunit ribosomal RNA", at positions 328 to 793 of the family's 1533-position model. The record is from RNAcentral.